UACAGGCAGGGCAAGUGUUGUUCGGAUUCACUGGGCGUAAAGGGUGUGUAGGCUGUAUGAUAAGUAAGGCGUUAAAUUCUCGAGCUCAACUCGAGGUCGCGCUUUAUACUGUCAUACUAGAGUUUAGGUGAAGGGGUAAGAAUUUCUAGAGUAGCGGUGACAUGCGUAGAUCCUAGAAGGAAUACCAAAGGCGAAGGCAAGCCCCUAGUCUAAUACUGACGCUGAGGCACGAAAGCGUGGGGAGCAAACGGG
RNAcentral lists this ribosomal RNA (252 nucleotides) under uncultured bacterium. RNAcentral describes it as "partial 16S ribosomal RNA". It matches the Rfam family "Bacterial small subunit ribosomal RNA", at positions 524 to 776 of the family's 1533-position model. The record is from RNAcentral.